CGGGGAGCCGGCGAUGGUGGCCAUUACAUACAUUCUGCAUCUGACACUUAUUAUAAUGAUCCGAAUACAGGACAGCGUCUCACCGUUGACUACACGAACAGCUGGAACCUCAUGAAUACGGGCUUCAAGAGCACUUAUUUUUUUGUGGGACAAGUUAUAUUUUUCCAGCUUCAACAGCAUCCCACCUCAGUCACUGAUGACCACUUGUAGUCAUGACCAAGACCAGGGAGUGCUGUAUAGUGGGGACAGGCUCCAUUGGAACGUAAGCAGCUGGGGAGCAGGGCAGGUGAGUUUACCUUGUCUUAUUCCUUUUAGCCCUGCCUGAGCACAUUGGCAAGUAUAAAAAAUGGCCUGUAAACCCUGUACAUUUUUAGUUAGGUAAAUGGGUAAAAAAAAAUAUUCCACUAGCAAUAUUAUUUUACAUAUUUCACUAUAACACAAUAACUUUAUUACACAAGGGACUAUGAGUCCAGCCAUACUAACCCCUUCCUGAUCCAUGCCAUACAGAUAUGACUUGGGUUGGGUAAGGAAGUAUAGCGUGGACUCAGAAGCCGCGCCCACACCA
Molecule: long non-coding RNA, 565 nt
Organism: Hyla sarda
Lineage: Eukaryota; Metazoa; Chordata; Amphibia; Anura; Hylidae
Exons: 3
Source: RefSeq, a predicted model, not a curated record